AGCCUGAUGCAGCAACGCCGCGUGAGGGAUGACGGCCUUCGGGUUGUAAACCUCUUUUAGCAGGGAAGAAGCGAAAGUGACGGUACCUGCAGAAAAAGCGCCGGCUAACUACGUGCCAGCAGCCGCGGUAAUACGUAGGGCGCAAGCGUUAUCCGGAAUUAUUGGGCGUAAAGAGCUCGUAGGCGGUUUGUCGCGUCUGCUGUGAAAUCCGGAGGCUCAACCUCCGGCCUGCAGUGGGUACGGGCAGACUAGAGUGCGGUAGGGGAGAUUGGAAUUCCUGGUGUAGCGGUGGAAUGCGCAGAUAUCAGGAGGAACACCGAUGGCGAAGGCAGAUCUCUGGGCCGUAACUGACGCUGAGGAGCGAAAGGGUGGGGAGCAAACAGGCUUAGAUACCCUGGUAGUCCACCCCGUAAACGUUGGGAACUAGUUGUGGGGUCCAUUCCACGGAUUCCGUGACGCAGCUAACGCAUUAAGUUCCCCGCCUGG
RNAcentral lists this ribosomal RNA (486 nucleotides) under Microbacterium sp. Its description in RNAcentral is "bacterial SSU rRNA". It matches the Rfam family "Bacterial small subunit ribosomal RNA", at positions 380 to 876 of the family's 1533-position model. The record is from RNAcentral. Lineage: Bacteria; Bacillati; Actinomycetota; Actinomycetes; Micrococcales; Microbacteriaceae.